GGGCUCGUAGCUCAGCCGGCUAGAGCGUUCGCCUGAUAAGCGAGAGGUCGAAGGUUCGAGUCCUUCCGGGCCCAC
RNAcentral lists this transfer RNA (75 nucleotides) under Sedimentisphaera cyanobacteriorum. RNAcentral describes it as "tRNA-Ile". It matches the Rfam family "tRNA". Rfam says of the family: Transfer RNA (tRNA) molecules are approximately 80 nucleotides in length. Their secondary structure includes four short double-helical elements and three loops (D, anti-codon, and T loops). RNAcentral also lists the same sequence under 1 other name. Lineage: Bacteria; Pseudomonadati; Planctomycetota; Phycisphaerae; Sedimentisphaerales; Sedimentisphaeraceae. The record is from RNAcentral.